UGCAGUCGAGCGGACAGAAGGGAGCUUGCUCCCGGAUGUUAGCGGCGGACGGGUGAGUAACACGUGGGUAACCUGCCUGUAAGACUGGGAUAACUCCGGGAAACCGGAGCUAAUACCGGAUAGUUCCUUGAACCGCAUGGUUCAAGGAUGAAAGACGGUUUCGGCUGUCACUUACAGAUGGACCCGCGGCGCAUUAGCUAGUUGGUGGGGUAAUGGCUCACCAAGGCGACGAUGCGUAGCCGACCUGAGAGGGUGAUCGGCCACACUGGGACUGAGACACGGCCCAGACUCCUACGGGAGGCAGCAGUAGGGAAUCUUCCGCAAUGGACGAAAGUCUGACGGAGCAACGCCGCGUGAGUGAUGAAGGUUUUCGGAUCGUAAAGCUCUGUUGUUAGGGAAGAACAAGUGCGAGAGUAACUGCUCGCACCUUGACGGUACCUAACCAGAAAGCCACGGCUAACUACGUGCCAGCAGCCGCGGUAAUACGUAGGUGGCAAGCGUUGUCCGGAAUUAUUGGGCGUAAAGGGCUCGCAGGCGGUUUCUUAAGUCUGAUGUGAAAGCCCCCGGCUCAACCGGGGAGGGUCAUUGGAAACUGGGAAACUUGAGUGCAGAAGAGGAGAGUGGAAUUCCACGUGUAGCGGUGAAAUGCGUAGAGAUGUGGAGGAACACCAGUGGCGAAAGGCGACUCUCUGGUCUGUAACUGACGCUGAGGAGCGAAAGCGUGGGGAGCGAACAGGAUUAGAUACCCUGGUAGUCCACGCCGUACACGAUGAGUGCUAAGUGUUAGGGGGGUUUCCGCCCCAU
RNAcentral lists this ribosomal RNA (804 nucleotides) under Bacillus pumilus. RNAcentral describes it as "bacterial SSU rRNA". It matches the Rfam family "Bacterial small subunit ribosomal RNA", at positions 56 to 841 of the family's 1533-position model. Lineage: Bacteria; Bacillati; Bacillota; Bacilli; Caryophanales; Bacillaceae. The record is from RNAcentral.